RNAcentral lists this ribosomal RNA (498 nucleotides) under uncultured Streptococcus sp. RNAcentral describes it as "bacterial SSU rRNA". It matches the Rfam family "Bacterial small subunit ribosomal RNA", at positions 28 to 508 of the family's 1533-position model. The record is from RNAcentral. Lineage: Bacteria; Bacillati; Bacillota; Bacilli; Lactobacillales; Streptococcaceae.
GACGAACGCUGGCGGCGUGCCUAAUACAUGCAAGUAGAACGCUGAAGCUUGGUGCUUGCACCGAGCGGGUGAGUUGCGAACGGGUGAGUAACGCGUAGGUAACCUGCCUGGUAGCGGGGGAUAACUAUUGGAAACGAUAGCUAAUACCGCAUAACAGUAGAUAUCGCAUGAUAUGUGCUUGAAAGGUGCAAUUGCAUCACUACCAGAUGGACCUGCGUUGUAUUAGCUAGUUGGUGAGGUAACGGCUCACCAAGGCAACGAUACAUAGCCGACCUGAGAGGGUGAUCGGCCACACUGGGACUGAGACACGGCCCAGACUCCUACGGGAGGCAGCAGUAGGGAAUCUUCGGCAAUGGACGGAAGUCUGACCGAGCAACGCCGCGUGAGUGAAGAAGGUUUUCGGAUCGUAAAGCUCUGUUGUAAGAGAAGAACGAGUGUGAGAGUGGAAAGUUCACAUUGUGACGGUAUCUUACCAGAAAGGGACGGCUAACUACGUGC